RNAcentral lists this ribosomal RNA (207 nucleotides) under uncultured bacterium. RNAcentral describes it as "partial 16S ribosomal RNA". It matches the Rfam family "Bacterial small subunit ribosomal RNA", at positions 568 to 774 of the family's 1533-position model. The record is from RNAcentral.
UGCGCAGGCGGUUGGGUGUGUCAGAUGUGAAAUCCCGAGGCUCAACCUCGGAACUGCGUCUGAAACUACUCGACUAGAGUACUGGAGAGGGUAACGGAAUUCACGGUGUAGCAGUGAAAUGCGUAGAUAUCGUGAGGAACACCAGAGGCGAAGGCGGUUACCUGGACAGUUACUGACGCUCAGGCACGAAAGCAUGGGGAGCAAAAG